Molecule: non-coding RNA, 205 nt
Filed under: unclassified sequences
Description: IS605-orfB-I RNA
Rfam family: IS605-orfB-I RNA
Source: Rfam by way of RNAcentral
ACUUUAUAAAUAUGUAUUAAACGCAAGACAGUUUAGCAUAUCCCUUUAAGGUGAAUUAAAGCUAGAAACAUAAAUCGAACUCUUGUUGUGUGGCUAUUAAGUUGAAACAAGAGAUGCUUAUGUGGAAUAGGUUAACCGUAAGACCUUAAGUUAAGAAACUUUAAAAUUGAGCUUAGUAGUUUUAGAAUUAUUAAGUUGCGGUUGC